UACGAAGGGGGCUAGCGUUGCUCGGAAUCACUGGACGUAAAGGGCGCGUAGGCGGCCAUUCAAGUCGGGGGUGAAAGCCUGUGGCUCAACCACAGAAUUGCCUUCGAUACUGUUUGGCUUGAGUAUGGCAGAGGUUGGUGGAACUGCGAGUGUAGAGGUGAAAUUCGUAGAUAUUCGCAAGAACACCAGUGGCGAAGGCGGCCAACUGGGCCAUGACUGACGCUGAGGCGCGAAAGCGUGGGGAGCAAACAGG
This 253-nucleotide ribosomal RNA is filed under the name uncultured bacterium. RNAcentral's name for it is "partial 16S ribosomal RNA". It matches the Rfam family "Bacterial small subunit ribosomal RNA", at positions 524 to 776 of the family's 1533-position model. The record is from RNAcentral.